UACAUGGGGUGCAAACGUUGCUCGGAAUUACUGGGCGUAAAGCGUGCGUAGGUGGUGAGUUAAGUCUGUCGUGAAAGCCCCGGGCUCAACCUGGGAAUGGCGAUGGAUACUGGCUCGCUAGAGUGCGGUAGAGGAGAGUGGAAUUCCCGGUGUAGCAGUGAAAUGCGUAGAGAUCUGGAGGAACACCGAUGGCGAAGGCAGCCUUCUGGGCCAACACUGACGCUCAUGCACGAAAGCGUGGGGAGCAAACAGG
This 253-nucleotide ribosomal RNA is filed under the name uncultured bacterium. RNAcentral's name for it is "partial 16S ribosomal RNA". It matches the Rfam family "Bacterial small subunit ribosomal RNA", at positions 524 to 776 of the family's 1533-position model. The record is from RNAcentral.